AGAACGAACGCUGGCGGCAGGCUUAACACAUGCAAGUCGAACGCGUGUAGCAAUACACGAGUGGCGCACGGGUGAGUAACGCGUGGAUAUCUGCCUUUUGGUUCGGAAUAACCCCGGGAAACUGGGGCUAAUACCGGAUGGUUCCUACGGGAUAAAGAUUUAUCGCCAAAAGAUGAGUCCGCGUCCGAUUAGCUAGUUGGUGGGGUAAUGGCCUACCAAGGCGACGAUCGGUAGCUGGUCUGAGAGGACGAUCAGCCACACUGGGACUGAGACACGGCCCAGACUCCUACGGGAGGCAGCAGUGGGGAAUAUUGGACAAUGGGGGCAACCCUGAUCCAGCCAUGCCGCGUGAGUGAUGAAGGCCUUCGGGUUGUAAAGCUCUUUUGGCGGGGACGAUGAUGACGGUACCGCAGAAUAAGCCCCGGCUAACUUCGCGCCAGCAGCCGC
RNAcentral lists this ribosomal RNA (447 nucleotides) under uncultured bacterium. RNAcentral's name for it is "SSU rRNA". It matches the Rfam family "Bacterial small subunit ribosomal RNA", at positions 26 to 518 of the family's 1533-position model. The record is from RNAcentral.